UAGGGAAUCUUCCACAAUGGACGCAAGUCUGAUGGAGCAACGCCGCGUGAGUGAAGAAGGUUUUCGGAUCGUAAAGCUCUGUUGUUGGUGAAGAAGGAUAGAGGUAGUAACUGGCCUUUAUUUGACGGUAAUCAACCAGAAAGUCACGGCUAACUACGUGCCAGCAGCCGCGGUAAUACGUAGGUGGCAAGCGUUGUCCGGAUUUAUUGGGCGUAAAGCGAGCGCAGGCGGAAGAAUAAGUCUGAUGUGAAAGCCCUCGGCUUAACCGAGGAACUGCAUCGGAAACUGUUUUUCUUGAGUGCAGAAGAGGAGAGUGGAACUCCAUGUGUAGCGGUGAAAUGCGUAGAUAUAUGGAAGAACACCAGUGGCGAAGGCGACUCUCUGGUCUGCAACUGACGCUGAGGCUCGAAAGCAUGGGUAGCGAACAGG
This 429-nucleotide ribosomal RNA is filed under the name Acidobacteriota bacterium. RNAcentral describes it as "Acidobacteria bacterium partial 16S ribosomal RNA". It matches the Rfam family "Bacterial small subunit ribosomal RNA", at positions 355 to 776 of the family's 1533-position model. The record is from RNAcentral. Lineage: Bacteria; Pseudomonadati; Acidobacteriota.